AGAUCCACACAAAGAGGGUGUCCUGUAAGGCCCCCAUAAAUCAACGUGAACCAAUUCAAAUAAACGACUAGCUUUACUAUUGCUAAUUGGAAAACUAUUCCUAUGUUGUUUAGCACGAGGACAAACAUCACAGGAUUUAUUUUUAAUGUCUCUAGCAGAACCACUCACAAACGGAAGAUGUUGUAGAACUCUUCCCGACGGAUGUCCCAACCGUUGAUGCCAUAACUCUGCAGAACUACUUCGAUCAAUCUUCAAAGCUUUCACCCCUGGAACCCCGCGGAAAUAAUAAAGUNNNNNNNNNNNNNNNNNNNNNNNNNNNNNNNNNNNNNGACGGAGGUCCCAACCGUUGAUGCCAUAACUCUGCAGAACGACUUCGAUCAAUCUUCAAAGCUUUCAUCCUUGGAAUACCGCGGAAAUAAUAAAGUCCUUCCACCCGAUCACCCACUCCAAUCACCUUCCUCGUCGCUAGGUCCUGUAUAACACACAAUUUUUUAGUGAAUUGCAUAGUACAAUUUGAUUCAUCACAUAAUUGCGAAGCAGAGAUUAAAUUGCAGUUUAAAUCUGGAACAUAGAGGACAUUUUUAAUAGUCAAUCCUCCUUCCAGUUCCACCGAACCCAUCAAAGAAGCAUUUGCAUAUUUGCCAUCCGGUAAACCUACCGGAUAAUGAGACACAUGGACCACAUUAAUCAAAAGAGACGCAUCAUAUGUUACAUGAUUUGACGCGCCGGUGUCGAUUAUCCAAUCAACACCCUGCUUACCAUGGAGUUUUGGCUUGAGAGAAUUAAGAUGGUCUAGGAGUUGCUGAACCUGAGCCGCGGAAACCCCUGCAAGAGCUGAGCCAUCAGCGUGAGUAGCAGGCUGCGUACCUGGAGCAGCAGACCCUCCUGUCUUGUUUGCACGAGCAGGAGGUGUUCGUAGUCCGCGACCUUUGAGUAGGAGCAGCACCUUGCGUUCCAUGAGCGGCAGACCCUCCUGUCUUGUUUGCACGGGCAGGAGGUGUUCCCUUUCCACGAC
RNAcentral lists this long non-coding RNA (1015 nucleotides) under Nicotiana benthamiana. RNAcentral's name for it is "long non-coding RNA (NBEN_LNC020337)". Lineage: Eukaryota; Viridiplantae; Streptophyta; Magnoliopsida; Solanales; Solanaceae. The record is from RNAcentral.